This 1469-nucleotide ribosomal RNA is filed under the name Staphylococcus aureus VET0460R. RNAcentral describes it as "bacterial SSU rRNA". It matches the Rfam family "Bacterial small subunit ribosomal RNA". Lineage: Bacteria; Bacillati; Bacillota; Bacilli; Caryophanales; Staphylococcaceae. The record is from RNAcentral.
AGAGUUUGAUCCUGGCUCAGGAUGAACGCUGGCGGCGUGCCUAAUACAUGCAAGUCGAGCGAACGGACGAGAAGCUUGCUUCUCUGAUGUUAGCGGCGGACGGGUGAGUAACACGUGGAUAACCUACCUAUAAGACUGGGAUAACUUCGGGAAACCGGAGCUAAUACCGGAUAAUAUUUUGAACCGCAUGGUUCAAAAGUGAAAGACGGUCUUGCUGUCACUUAUAGAUGGAUCCGCGCUGCAUUAGCUAGUUGGUAAGGUAACGGCUUACCAAGGCAACGAUGCAUAGCCGACCUGAGAGGGUGAUCGGCCACACUGGAACUGAGACACGGUCCAGACUCCUACGGGAGGCAGCAGUAGGGAAUCUUCCGCAAUGGGCGAAAGCCUGACGGAGCAACGCCGCGUGAGUGAUGAAGGUCUUCGGAUCGUAAAACUCUGUUAUUAGGGAAGAACAUAUGUGUAAGUAACUGUGCACAUCUUGACGGUACCUAAUCAGAAAGCCACGGCUAACUACGUGCCAGCAGCCGCGGUAAUACGUAGGUGGCAAGCGUUAUCCGGAAUUAUUGGGCGUAAAGCGCGCGUAGGCGGUUUUUUAAGUCUGAUGUGAAAGCCCACGGCUCAACCGUGGAGGGUCAUUGGAAACUGGAAAACUUGAGUGCAGAAGAGGAAAGUGGAAUUCCAUGUGUAGCGGUGAAAUGCGCAGAGAUAUGGAGGAACACCAGUGGCGAAGGCGACUUUCUGGUCUGUAACUGACGCUGAUGUGCGAAAGCGUGGGGAUCAAACAGGAUUAGAUACCCUGGUAGUCCACGCCGUAAACGAUGAGUGCUAAGUGUUAGGGGGUUUCCGCCCCUUAGUGCUGCAGCUAACGCAUUAAGCACUCCGCCUGGGGAGUACGACCGCAAGGUUGAAACUCAAAGGAAUUGACGGGGACCCGCACAAGCGGUGGAGCAUGUGGUUUAAUUCGAAGCAACGCGAAGAACCUUACCAAAUCUUGACAUCCUUUGACAACUCUAGAGAUAGAGCCUUCCCCUUCGGGGGACAAAGUGACAGGUGGUGCAUGGUUGUCGUCAGCUCGUGUCGUGAGAUGUUGGGUUAAGUCCCGCAACGAGCGCAACCCUUAAGCUUAGUUGCCAUCAUUAAGUUGGGCACUCUAAGUUGACUGCCGGUGACAAACCGGAGGAAGGUGGGGAUGACGUCAAAUCAUCAUGCCCCUUAUGAUUUGGGCUACACACGUGCUACAAUGGACAAUACAAAGGGCAGCGAAACCGCGAGGUCAAGCAAAUCCCAUAAAGUUGUUCUCAGUUCGGAUUGUAGUCUGCAACUCGACUACAUGAAGCUGGAAUCGCUAGUAAUCGUAGAUCAGCAUGCUACGGUGAAUACGUUCCCGGGUCUUGUACACACCGCCCGUCACACCACGAGAGUUUGUAACACCCGAAGCCGGUGGAGUAACCUUUUAGGAGCUAGCCGUC